GAUGAACGCUGGCGGCGUGCUUAACACAUGCAAGUCGAACGGAAAGGCUCCUGCUUGCAGGGGUACUCGAGUGGCGAACGGGUGAGUAACACGUGGGUGAUCUGCCCUGCACUUCGGGAUAAGCCUGGGUAACUGGGUCUAAUAUCGGAUAGGACCACAUCUUGGGUGGUGUGGUGGAAAGUUUUUCGGUGUGGGAUGAGCUCGCGGCCUAUCAGCUUGUUGGUGGGGUAAUGGCCUACCAAGGCGUCGACGGGUAGCCGGCCUGAGAGGGUGUACGGCCACAUUGGGACUGAGAUACGGCGCAGACUCCUACGGGAGGCAGCGGUGGGGAAUAUUGCACAAUGGGCGCAAGCCUGAUGCAGCGACGCCGCGUGGGGGAUGACGGCCUUCGGGUUGUGAACUCCUUUCGCUAGGGACGAAGCGGAAGUGACGGUACCUGGAGAAGAAGCACCGGCUAACUACGUG
Molecule: ribosomal RNA, 465 nt
Filed under: uncultured bacterium
Lineage: Bacteria
Description: partial 16S ribosomal RNA
Rfam family: Bacterial small subunit ribosomal RNA
Source: RNAcentral